CUUGCGAUUUUGAGUUAACAUAUGGUAGGAUUCAUGCAUUUUCUCACACCUGUUUUGUGGAAUUAACAUUGUGACGCAAGUCUUCAUCACAA
Molecule: non-coding RNA, 92 nt
Organism: Caenorhabditis elegans
Lineage: Eukaryota; Metazoa; Nematoda; Chromadorea; Rhabditida; Rhabditidae
Source: Ensembl